This is a long non-coding RNA of Pipra filicauda (Wire-tailed manakin), 276 nucleotides long. RefSeq lists it as uncharacterized. The transcript has 2 exons. Lineage: Eukaryota; Metazoa; Chordata; Aves; Passeriformes; Pipridae. The record is from RefSeq and is a predicted model, not a curated record.
GGGGAUGACAGAGAAUCAGAAAGGCUUUUUUAUCAGCCCUCUGUGCUUUGCAUCCAUCAGAGCCGGUUGCUGUUUUGCCACUGAAAAUAUUCCCAGCAGAAAAUGCAGCUUUGUGAAGGCCCAAACUUGUUCAAGGAGAAGAGACUGUCUGGAAGAAAAUGAUCACAUUUUCAUCACUUCUUUUUUUUUUGUUCUGAAUUGACAUCCUGGCUCUACAUGCUCUGAAUUUUGCAUUCAGAGAAUUGAGUUCUAUUAAAAAGUGUGGAGAAAAGGUUC